RNAcentral lists this long non-coding RNA (703 nucleotides) under Panax ginseng (ginseng). RNAcentral's name for it is "long non-coding RNA (PGIN_LNC011192)". Lineage: Eukaryota; Viridiplantae; Streptophyta; Magnoliopsida; Apiales; Araliaceae. The record is from RNAcentral.
CGACCACCAUUUGAAUUCCUUUUCUUCAUUUCGACCUUUGUCAAUCUAUAACGUAAUGGACCAGUUCACCGUUUUGGACAUUCUUCUCAAUUAAAUUCUUCAACUACCAACAUUCCUCAGUUACAUGCCCCGUGGUCUGGUGAUACUAGCAGAAUAAGUUUGGAUUUCCCCUCGGGGUACGAUUGCUCACCGGAUUAAUUUCUGACGUGAAGGGCGACUUCAAGUCAGCUGACAAUUCAUUCGCCUGGGUUACCGCCGCUAACUUUCGCUCUAGCUUUACCAACUUUUGUAUGACGGGAUCUGGUAUCUCCCUCGGGGGGAUGUUCUGCGUCAAUCCUUUACAUACUUUGGGAAGGCCACCCGUUGCCGCCGUUCAGACCUUACCCGUCCUUCGUCACUGUCUCGAGAGCGUGACUUGCGUCUGCUCUUAUCUCUGGAAGAGCCUCUAGUUCGAUGAGAUCUGGAUUGACUUUGUGGUGUAGACUUCCAAAUCAUGUGUCGAUUAUUCUGCUUCUAACUGGGCCAAUUCAGCAUCCCAAUUUGCUUGUUGUAGGGGCAGUGUCUCAAGUGCAUCCUUUGUCUGCUGGAUUUUUCGCCUCCGUAUCAACUCCUGUUUAUCAUGUCCAUCUUACUCCCGAUCUCGCUUUUGAUUAAUGUGUGUUCGGGACCGACCGUCUGUCUCGUGACUAUGGGGAUCGUGAGU